Molecule: ribosomal RNA, 172 nt
Filed under: uncultured Bacteroidota bacterium
Lineage: Bacteria; Pseudomonadati; Bacteroidota
Description: uncultured Bacteroidetes bacterium partial 16S ribosomal RNA
Rfam family: Bacterial small subunit ribosomal RNA
Source: RNAcentral
UCCUACGGGAGGCAGCAGCCGGGAAUUUUGCCCAAUGAGCGAAAGCUUGAGGCAGCAACUCCGCGUGAGGGAUGACGGCCUUCGGGUUGUAAACCUCUUUUCUCAGGGAAGAUCCAAGACGGUACCUGAGGAAUAAGCCACGGCUAACUACGUGCCAGCAGCCGCGGUAAUA